Molecule: ribosomal RNA, 915 nt
Filed under: uncultured Mycoplasma sp.
Lineage: Bacteria; Bacillati; Mycoplasmatota; Mollicutes; Mycoplasmatales; Mycoplasmataceae
Description: bacterial SSU rRNA
Rfam family: Bacterial small subunit ribosomal RNA
Source: RNAcentral
UCGGAACCUAGCGGCGAAUGGGUGAGUAACACGUGCUUAAUCUACCCUUCAGAUUGGAAUACCCAAUGGAAACAUUGGCUAAUGCCGGAUACGCAUGGAAUCGCAUGAUUCCGUUGUGAAAGGGGCCUCAAAGCCCCACUGAAGGAUGAGGGUGCGGAACAUUAGUUAGUUGGUAGGGUAAUGGCCUACCAAGACUAUGAUGUUUAGCCGGGUCGAGAGACUGAACGGCCACAUUGGGACUGAGAUACGGCCCAAACUCCUACGGGAGGCAGCAGUAGGGAAUAUUCCACAAUGAGCGAAAGCUUGAUGGAGCGACACAGCGUGCACGAUGAAGGUCUUCGGAUUGUAAAGUGCUGUUAUAAGGGAAGAACACUCAGAGGAGGAAAUGCCUUUGAGCUGACGGUACCUUGUCAGAAAGCGAUGGCUAACUAUGUGCCAGCAGCCGCGGUAAUACAUAGGUCGCAAGCGUUAUCCGGAAUUAUUGGGCGUAAAGCGUUCGUAGGCUGUUUAUUAAGUCUGGAGUCAAAUCCCGGGGCUCAACCCCGGCUCGCUUUGGAUACUGAUAAACUAGAGUUGGAUAGAGGUAAGCGGAAUUCCAUGUGAAGCGGUGAAAUGCGUAGAUAUAUGGAAGAACACCAAAGGCGAAGGCAGCUUACUGGGUCUAUACUGACGCUGAGGGACGAAAGCGUGGGGAGCAAACAGGAUUAGAUACCCUGGUAGUCCACGCCGUAAACGAUGAUCAUUAGUCGGUGGAGAGUUCACUGACGCAGCUAACGCAUUAAAUGAUCCGCCUGAGUAGUAUGCUCGCAAGAGUGAAACUUAAAGGAAUUGACGGGGACCCGCACAAGCGGUGGAGCAUGUGGUUUAAUUUGAAGAUACACGGAGAACCUUACCCACUCUUGACAUCUUCCGCAA